UGUGAAUGGAGACUAGCCUGCUGGUAGAGACCUUGGCAGUGACCGCUGUGGGCAAUGAGCCAUGGGCCAACAAUAUUCAAUGCUGUGUACCUGAUGGAUGGUCACUGUCUGAGGCUGAAGCUUUUGGGGCCAGGAGUAAAAGGACUUGGUUUGUGCUCGAUUGCAUCCUGUGGGUGCUUGCCUACCAACUGACUCAUCCCGACGUGCCAAAGGCCCUGGCUUUCACCUGUGUGGGUAAGGGAAGAAGAGAUUUCUAAUGAAGACUAGCAGACUGAAUUACUCUCUGAGAUGAGGAGUUUGCUAUUGCCAUUGCAGAGCUACUGGUGGAGGUUGUUGUUAAACAGCGGGUCUUGCAUGCAAGCUCUACAGUUAUGCACAGUAUUUCCAUGACAUCCCAAGCCAUGAGGUCCAUGCUGCUGUAUUCCCCUGUUUAACAAGUGUGGAAACUGAUAAUGCACUCACAAUGGCUGAUGUAUCUAAUGUUUUCUAUUGUGGACACAGGACACCCAGACUGAGAACCAAUGGCUCCGGUCUGAUUUAAACAUGGGUCCGUGCUCACACACUCAAUACCUACCCUCUGUGCUCACAAGUCCUGUGUGAGUAAUACUCCAAAUUAUUCUGUCUUGUUUUGCUCAAUGGUAUCCUCUAUCUUAUUAUAGAGUAUACCAUGUAUUGAGACAAGAAUGCCAGUCAUUCUGAGAAACAAAAUGCAACCAUUGAUUGUCAUUUUAAUUAGUGACAAAUAGUUGUGUCGAUCAUCAAACAUGCUUGUAUAAUUGGAUGAGAAGAGGUGUAACACGGGCCAAUGAUGACGAGGUUUCGGGAUUAUAAGUCACGGACCAGCAGAAGGUGCCUCAUGUGACCCUCUCAUGAAGGGGUUGCAAGUCAGGCAUGUGCACACAGUAGAUAUUAGCCAUGCACUCUCACCAUUUCAUAGUAGAUCACAGAAUCAAGAUUCAAAUCUCCAUGCACUGAAAAGG
Molecule: long non-coding RNA, 980 nt
Filed under: Mus caroli (Ryukyu mouse)
Lineage: Eukaryota; Metazoa; Chordata; Mammalia; Rodentia; Muridae
Description: lncRNA (MGP_CAROLIEiJ_G0013376.1)
Source: RNAcentral